GUGAGGAAUAUUGGUCAAUGGGCGAGAGCCUGAACCAGCCAAGUAGCGUGAGGGAUGACUGCCCUAUGGGUUGUAAACCUCUUUUGCAGGGGGGUAAAGUGGUUCACGUGUGGACCAUUGCGAGUACCCUGCGAAUAAGGAUCGGCUAACUCCGUGCCAGCAGCCGCGGUAAUACGGAGGAUCCGAGCGUUAUCCGGAUUUAUUGGGUUUAAAGGGAGCGUAGGCGGGGGUUUAAGUCAGCUGUGAAAUGCCGUGGCCCAACCAUGGAACUGCAGUUGAAACUGGACCUCUUGAGAGUACAUAAGGAAGGCGGAAUUCGUGGUGUAGCGGUGAAAUGCAUAGAUAUCACGAAGAACUCCGAUUGCGAAGGCAGCUUUCCGGGGUACAUCUGACGCUGAAGCUCGAAAGUGCGGGAAUCAAACAGGAUUAGAAACCCGGGUAGUCC
Molecule: ribosomal RNA, 445 nt
Filed under: uncultured bacterium
Lineage: Bacteria
Description: partial 16S ribosomal RNA
Rfam family: Bacterial small subunit ribosomal RNA
Source: RNAcentral